This 484-nucleotide ribosomal RNA is filed under the name uncultured bacterium. RNAcentral's name for it is "partial 16S ribosomal RNA". It matches the Rfam family "Bacterial small subunit ribosomal RNA", at positions 30 to 507 of the family's 1533-position model. The record is from RNAcentral.
AUUGAACGCUGGCGGCAGGCCUAACACAUGCAAGUCGAGCGGAUGAAGGGAGCUUGCUCCUGGAUUCAGCGGCGGACGGGUGAGUAAUGCCUAGGAAUCUGCCUGGUAGUGGGGGAUAACGUCCGGAAACGGGCGCUAAUACCGCAUACGUCCUGAGGGAGAAAGUGGGGGAUCUUCGGACCUCACGCUAUCAGAUGAGCCUAGGUCGGAUUAGCCAGUUGGUGGGGUAAAGGCCUACCAAGGCGACGAUCCGUAACUGGUCUGAGAGGAUGAUCAGUCACACUGGAACUGAGACACGGUCCAGACUCCUACGGGAGGCAGCAGUGGGGAAUAUUGGACAAUGGGCGAAAGCCUGAUCCAGCCAUGCCGCGUGUGUGAAGAAGGUCCUCGGAUUGUAAAGCACUUUAAGUUGGGAGGAAGGGCAGUAAGUUAAUACCUUGCUGUUUUGACGUUACCAACAGAAUAAGCACCGGCUAACUUCGUG